AAAAUAAUUGUUUAUGGCACUCAGCUUAAGCUGUUCUGGUAAUCACGUUGAAAAAUACAAUAUUUAUUCAUUAGAUCAAAUUUAAUGAGGCCUCCUGGCAGUAAUUAUAAAAAUUACUGUAGCAGUAAAUUACUAAUGAGUUGUGAUGUGCUUCCUACCUGUGAAGAAGGACUGGGGGUUGAAAAAGCCUGCUACCCAGAUGAGGAGGCGAGGGAGGGAGCCCUGCGGCCCGCGCUGCUCUCUCACCCAAGCAGGGAAGGAUCAGUGUACCCAGACCACAAAAGCAAACAAGAAAAAAAGACUUGAGGACACACAACCAGGGGGAUUCCUGCAGCCGUCGGAGCAGGAUCAAGAUUACAGCAUUCUUUUCCCCAAAGGUUCUCUGGCUUGCUCUGCAUCUGGGAAGUGAGGACUGUUGUCUAUAGGAAGAUUUCCAGUGGCUGGAAGCUUAUGGCUGAUGAUGUAACUCAGCACCAAGUUCACACCAAAUCCAGCAUUCCUAAUUCUAACAAGGUGCUCUUGAUCCAAACUUAGGGCAUUUGAGGCUCUACGUUCUUUCUCCCCUUCCUUUGUCAGCAAAAACAAGAGUAGGUCAGUAAACUGAAAACAGCGCAGAGAGGACAGCUUUCAGACUUGCUUAGUCAAAGAGCAGAGCUGCGUGUGUUGUGUUUGCACUGUCAGCCCACAAAAAAACAGAGAAGAUUUAGGGAGAAAGGAAGGCUAUUUACUGGAACAAAAUACACGACAGUUCACAUUACAUAUUUUCUUGAUGGACACAAAGUGACAUCCAUACUGAUUGACUGUCGGCAUGUGCCUCUCCACGGAGCCAGGUUCUGUGUGAUGGAUAAGCCAGUCUCUGGCAAGUGUCAGGAAGAUUAUCAAAAGAAAGAGCUGUCUGUAGUUGUUCCCUUUCUGAGGAGAUUGACAACUCACCCUAACAAAG
Molecule: long non-coding RNA, 943 nt
Filed under: Homo sapiens (human)
Lineage: Eukaryota; Metazoa; Chordata; Mammalia; Primates; Hominidae
Description: HSALNT0043243
Source: RNAcentral